AUGACAAAUUUAAAUAGCUGCAGUAAAUUAACUGUACUAAGGUAGCAUAAUAAGUUGCUUUAUAAUUAAAAGCUUGAAUGAAAGAAACAAUGUGAAACAAACUUUUUAAACUAAAAGAGUAAAAAUUAAUAUUUAAGUGAAAAAUCUUAAAUUAAAUCAAAAGACAAGAAGACCCUUUAGAACUUUAUAAGUUAAAUUAUGUUCAUUAGAUUAAUUUAUCAAGUUGGGGAGAUUUUUAAAUAAAUAAAUCUUUAAAUAUAAUAAAAUGAAUUACCUCAGGUUAAACUAUCCAAAUAAGAAUUAAAACAAGUUACCUAAGGGAUAACAGCGCAAAAUUUUUGAGAAGCUCUUAUUCACAAGAUAAAUUGCGACCUCGAUGUUGGAUUAAGAAUAGCUUAUAAAGAAAAAUUUAUAAGGA
RNAcentral lists this ribosomal RNA (418 nucleotides) under Bemisia tabaci. RNAcentral describes it as "partial 16S ribosomal RNA". The record is from RNAcentral. Lineage: Eukaryota; Metazoa; Arthropoda; Insecta; Hemiptera; Aleyrodidae.